Molecule: ribosomal RNA, 253 nt
Filed under: uncultured bacterium
Lineage: Bacteria
Description: partial 16S ribosomal RNA
Rfam family: Bacterial small subunit ribosomal RNA
Source: RNAcentral
UACAGAGGGGGCAAGCGUUGUUCGGAAUUACUGGGCGUAAAGGGCGCGUAGGCGGCCUCCUAAGUCGGACGUGAAAUCCCCGAGCUCAACUCGGGAACUGCGUCCGAUACUGGUUGGCUUGAAUCCGGGAGAGGGAUGCGGAAUUCCAGGUGUAGCGGUGAAAUGCGUAGAUAUCUGGAGGAACACCGGUGGCGAAGGCGGCAUCCUGGACCGGCAUUGACGCUGAGGCGCGAAAGCCAGGGGAGCAAACGGG